UCAUAAUUUCUUCACUCUUUCAACAUCCAAACUCAACUCAAACAGUUCCAAUCUCAGAUCAUCAUCAUCAUCAAGCAAGCAAACUAGCUCUAGCCAGCAAAGAAAGAGACAGAACAGCAGAGAUGUGUUUUGUGUUUCUAUGUGAUGAAGAAGAGAGGGAGUUAGGCAGGCAACAAGCUUCAGGGUCAUGUCCACACUGUGGAGGUAAAGUACAGGCCGUGGAUUUUGAAAGCCGGUGGAGGUUCUGUUUCUUACCCAUUUGCUACAAGAAUAAAAGAAAAUAUUUAUGCACUCUAUGUUCCAGGAGGCUGGAGUUGUAUCAAUAUUAAAGACAAAGAAGUUGAUGUCUGAUUAUAAACCAAAAAAAUGCAGCAGCUAGCUUCACACCUUCCCUGGUGAUCGAUGAACAUUCCAAGAUGGCUGCUUCACUUGUAAAAUUUCUUCUUCUUCAUCUUUUUCAUUAAUAAUUUGUCUGUCUUUAAUUAUGUUGUGAAGGGAGGGAUUUCGUGGACCUGGCAAAAACAAUUUGUCGGUAGGAACUCUUGACAUUAUCAAUAAGAGUGUACAACUGUACAUUACGUAUGACUAUGUAUUUUAAGUAGUACGAGAUUAUUUUAUUCGAAUAGAAGAGAUGAAGAAAUUGAAAACAAAAAAAUUCUAUAUUUUUUAUUUAGAAAUUAUUUUAAAAAAUAUAAUCUAUUAAACACGUAUUUUCCUCGGUGAGGAAGAUGAAAAAUCUGAGAAGGGUUCUUCUUCUUCUUUGUUAUGGUACUGC
This 775-nucleotide long non-coding RNA is filed under the name Populus tremula. Its description in RNAcentral is "long non-coding RNA (PTRE_LNC001468)". Lineage: Eukaryota; Viridiplantae; Streptophyta; Magnoliopsida; Malpighiales; Salicaceae. The record is from RNAcentral.